RNAcentral lists this ribosomal RNA (948 nucleotides) under uncultured bacterium. Its description in RNAcentral is "bacterial SSU rRNA". It matches the Rfam family "Bacterial small subunit ribosomal RNA", at positions 8 to 993 of the family's 1533-position model. The record is from RNAcentral.
AGAGUUUGAUCAUGGCUCAGAAUCAACGCUGGCGGCGCGCCUAACACAUGCAAGUCGAGCGAGAAAGUGGGGCAACCCAUGAGUAAAGCGGCGUACGGGUGAGUAACACGUGGAUGAUCUACCCUCUAGUGGGGAAUAACCCUAGGAAACCGGGGCUAAUACCGCAUAAGCACGAGAGUGGAAAGCAGCAAUGCGCUGGAGGAGGAGUCCGCGGCCGAUUAGCUAGUUGGCAGGGUAAAAGCCUACCAAGGCGAAGAUCGGUAGCCGGCCUGAGAGGGCACACGGCCACACUGGCACUGAAACACGGGCCAGACUCCUACGGGAGGCAGCAGUGGGGAAUCUUGCACAAUGGGGGAAACCCUGAUGCAGCGACGCCGCGUGAGCGAUGAAGCCCUUCGGGGUGUAAAGCUCUUUCGGCAGGGAAGAUGAUGACGGUACCUGCAGAAGCAGCUGCGGCUAACUACGUGCCAGCAGCCGCGGUAAUACGUAGGCAGCAAGCGUUGUUCGGAGUUACUGGGCGUAAAGGGUGUGUAGGCGGUUGUUUAAGUUUGGUGUGAAAUCUCCCGGCUCAACCGGGAGGGUGCGCCGAAUACUGAAUGACUCGAGUGCGGGAGAGGAGAGUGGAAUUCCUGGUGUAGCGGUGAAAUGCGUAGAUAUCAGGAGGAACACCGGUGGUGUAGACGGCUCUCUGGACCGUAACUGACGCUGAGACACGAAAGCGUGGGUAGCAAACAGGAUUAGAUACCCUGGUAGUCCACGCCCUAAACGAUGCAUAUUUGGUGUGGGCAGUUCAUUCUGUCCGUGCCGGAGCUAACGCGUUAAAUAUGCCGCCUGGGGAGUACAGUCGCAAGGCUGAACUCAAGGAAUUGACGGGGCCCGCACAAGCGGUGGAGCAUGUGGUUCAAUUCGACGCACGCGAAGAACCUUACCUGGGCUCGAACGGCUGGG